CCUGAUCGGGCAUUCGAUACGAGUUGACUAGACGAAGGUAGGGAGAAGUGGAAUACCAUGGUGAGCGGUGGAAUGAGCAGAUAUCAGGAUGGAACACCAGUGGCGAAGGCAGUUCUCUGAUCCUUUCCUGACGCUGAGGAGAGAAAGCGUGGGGAGCGAACAGACUUAGAUACCAUGGUAGUGGUACUCUGUAAACGGUGGGUACUAGGUGUAGGGUCCAGUUCCACGGGUGCUGUGCUGUAGCUAACGCUUUAAGUACCCCGCCUGGGGAGUACGGCCGCAAGGCUAAAACUCAUAGGAAUUGACGGGGCCGCGCACAAGCGGCGGAGCAUGCGGAUUAAUUAGAUGCAACGCGUAGAACCUUACCUGGGUUCGACAUGGAUCGGGAGUGUUCAGAGAUGGGUGUGCCUCUUUUGGGGUCGGUUCACACGUGGUGCACGGCUGUCUUCAGCUCGUGUCGUGAGAUGUUGGGUUAAAUCCCGCAACGAGCGCAACCCCUUUUCCCUGUUUCCAGCACGUUAUGGUGGGGAAUCAGUGGAGACCGCCGGGGUCAACUCGGAGGAAGGUGGGGAUGACGUCAAGUCAUCAUGCCCCCUAUGUCCAGGGCUUCACGCAUGCUACAAAGGGUGGUACAGAGAGGGGCGAGCCUGUGAGGGUGAGCGAAUCUCGGAAAACCGGUUUCAGUUCGGAAUGGGGUUUGCAACUUGGCCUCCAGAAAUUGGAGUCGCUAGUAAUUGCAGAUCAGCAACGCCGCGGUGAAUACGUUCCCGGGCCUUGUACACACCGCCCGUCAAGUCAUGAAAGUUGGUAACACCAGAAGCCGGAGGCCUACCCCAAGGGGGGAGCCGUCCUAGUAGAGAUCGGUGCUCGGCCUG
This 875-nucleotide ribosomal RNA is filed under the name Propionibacterium sp. CL1305. Its description in RNAcentral is "bacterial SSU rRNA". It matches the Rfam family "Bacterial small subunit ribosomal RNA", at positions 614 to 1483 of the family's 1533-position model. The record is from RNAcentral. Lineage: Bacteria; Bacillati; Actinomycetota; Actinomycetes; Propionibacteriales; Propionibacteriaceae.